GGUUGGUGAUGAUAACUGGAAAGGCUUGUUUCUCAAAACAUUCGCAGUGGCCGCCUAAGAGCUUUCGCCUUUCGCCAGGCUUGAGAGUUUAUGCUGCUUUUUAUCCUUCCUUCCUUGGAUGUCUGAAACC
This is a non-coding RNA of Brassica napus (rape), 130 nucleotides long. NCBI's taxonomy places the organism in Eukaryota, Viridiplantae, Streptophyta, Magnoliopsida, Brassicales, Brassicaceae. The record is from Rfam.